CUCAAAGAAGUGAAAUUGUUAUAAGGAAACCGCUUAAAACUUCUGGAAUCUGUGCACCAGUUAAUGGGGGAGCAAUCCCUUUGCUAUUGGUGUAUGGGUGGCUAUUGCUCGGGUUUGAGCUUAUGAGGAUUAGAAGGGAAGGUAAGUUGAAUUUCGGUUUAACUUCUUAAAGCCCUUUUAGUCUGAUAAAGUUUGGGCCAGUGUAGAAAGUCAUACGGUGGCUAGCUCUUGAAUUAAACACUAUAAUAGACUUGUGCUAGAGUGGUUUUUAAUUUAAGGCCUAGUACUGCCACAUGCUUUAAUAGUUAAGAAGACUUAAGCGACCCGUCUUGAAACACGGACCAAGGAGUCUAACAUAUAUGCAAGUAUUAUGGCUUAAAACCAGACUGCGCAAUGAAAGUAAUUUCAAGGUAGGAUCCCGCAAGGGUGCACUAUCGACCGAGCUAUAGGGAUUUUUUUCUAUGGUUUGAGUAAGAGCAUAUAUGUUGGUACCCGAAAGAUGGUGAACUAUGCCUGAAUAGGGUGAAGCCAGGGGAAACCCUGGUGGAAGCUCGUAGCGAUUCUGACGUGCAAAUCGAUCGUCAAAUUUGGGUAUAGGGGCGAAAGACUAAUCGAACCAUCUAGUAGCUGUUYCCUUCCCGA
RNAcentral lists this ribosomal RNA (642 nucleotides) under fungal sp. Its description in RNAcentral is "partial 28S ribosomal RNA". It matches the Rfam family "Eukaryotic large subunit ribosomal RNA", at positions 386 to 965 of the family's 3401-position model. The record is from RNAcentral. Lineage: Eukaryota; Fungi.